This 75-nucleotide ribosomal RNA is filed under the name Candidatus Hennigimonas equi. Its description in RNAcentral is "partial 16S ribosomal RNA". It matches the Rfam family "Bacterial small subunit ribosomal RNA", at positions 1 to 75 of the family's 1533-position model. The record is from RNAcentral. Lineage: Bacteria; Pseudomonadati; Bacteroidota; Bacteroidia; Bacteroidales.
ACAAUGAAGAGUUUGAUCCUGGCUCAGGAUGAACGCUAGCGGCAGGCUUAACACAUGCAAGUCGAGGGGCAGCAU